GCGGAUGGUGCCGAGACGCUCAUGAAUGGCUGGAACGGAGGAAGAAGCGGGCUGAUGGGAGGCGCUGAUCACGGGCUCGGGCAGAAGCUGUGAAGGAGGCUUGUGAACGGAUUGGAGGUGAAGCGGAAUAGGUGGAGGGGCGCGAUCUCUUCCGGACGACCGCUGGGAAGAUUCACAGGAUGCUGUGGAGGAGGCAACGCUCGCUAACGGCUGGGAUAUUGCGGAGAAAUGAAGCCGCGGACGCUAUGGAGGAGGCGGUGAUCGCUGGCUUCACAGACGGCGCGAGCGGACGCGGUGAUCGUGGACUCGCGGAUGCUAUGGAGCUUCAUGGGUGGCUCGCAGGAGGAUAGGCUGAAACGGGUGCUCCGUGGACGCUUGGGACGCUUCACGGCUGGCUGGGACCAUUCACGGGAUGCUGUGGAGGAGGCGGACGGAUCUUUGGACGCUGAUUGCGGACGGCUUGGGAUGCUUCACGGGCAGCCGGGACGGAUCGUGAGCCGAUGGGAGAUGCGGAUGGAUCGCGGACGGCAGGAUGAGAACGCAAGCGGGUUGAUGCGGGAGCUCAUCACGGGUGCGGACGACGUGGAGGGGACUCGUUGAUCACGGGAUGAUCACUGAUGUGGCCAUUUUGGAUCUUCUUGGUUUGAUAAAUCUAAG
This 657-nucleotide long non-coding RNA is filed under the name Phoenix dactylifera (date palm). RNAcentral describes it as "long non-coding RNA (PDAC_LNC019881)". Lineage: Eukaryota; Viridiplantae; Streptophyta; Magnoliopsida; Arecales; Arecaceae. The record is from RNAcentral.